AUAUCAAUAAGCGGAGGAAAAGAAACCAACAGGGAUUGCCCCAGUAACGGCGAGUGAAGCGGCAACAGCUCAAAUUUGAAAUCUGGCCCCCGGGUCCGAGUUGUAAUUUGCAGAGGAUGCUUUUGGCGAGGUGCCUUCCGAGUUCCCUGGAACGGGACGCCACAGAGGGUGAGAGCCCCGUCUGGUCGGACACCGAGCCUCUGUAAAGCUCCUUCGACGAGUCGAGUAGUUUGGGAAUGCUGCUCAAAAUGGGAGGUAUAUGUCUUCUAAAGCUAAAUAUUGGCCAGAGACCGAUAGCGCACAAGUAGAGUGAUCGAAAGAUGAAAAGCACUUUGAAAAGAGGGUUAAAAAGUACGUGAAAUUGUUGAAAGGGAAGCGCCUGUGACCAGACUUGGGCCCGGUGAAUCAUCCAGCGUUCUCGCUGGUGCACUUCGCCGGGCACAGGCCAGCAUCAGUUUGGCGCGGGGGAAAAAGGCUCUGGGAAUGUGGCUCCUCCGGGAGUGUUAUAGCCCACCGCGUAAUACCCUGCGCCGGACUGAGGUACGCGCAUUGCAAGGAUGCUGGCGUAAUGGUCAUCAGCGACCCGUCUUGAAACACGGACCAAGGAGUCGUCUUCGUAUGCGAGUGUUCGGGUGCCAAACCCCUACGCGUAAUGAAAGUGAACGCAGGUGAGAGCUUCGGCGCAUCAUCGACCGAUCCUGAUGUUCUCGGAUGGAUUUGAGUAAGAGCAUACGGGGCCGGACCCGAAAGAAGGUGAACUAUGCCUGUAUAGGGUGAAGCCAGAGGAAACUCUGGUGGAGGCUCGCAGCGGUUCUGACGUGCGAAUCGAUCGUCAAAUAUGGGCAUGGGGGCGAAAGACUAAUCGAACCUUCUAGUAGCUGGUUUCCGCC
Molecule: ribosomal RNA, 890 nt
Filed under: Akanthomyces tuberculatus
Lineage: Eukaryota; Fungi; Ascomycota; Sordariomycetes; Hypocreales; Cordycipitaceae
Description: LSU rRNA
Rfam family: Eukaryotic large subunit ribosomal RNA
Source: RNAcentral